AACGUAGGUGGCAAGCGUUAUCCGGAAUUACUGGGCGUAAAGGGUGUGCAGGCGGGGAAGCAAGGGGGGUAUGAAAUAUCCCAGCUUAACUGGGAGGGGUUAUGCCAGACUGCUUUUCUAGAGGACGAGAGAGGGGGGUGGAAUUCCGGGUGUAGUGGUGAAAUGCGUAGAGAUCCGGAGGAACCCCAGAGGCGAAGGCGGCCCCCUGGCUCGUACCUGACGCUCAGCCACGAAAGCAUGGGGAGCGAACGGG
Molecule: ribosomal RNA, 253 nt
Filed under: uncultured bacterium
Lineage: Bacteria
Description: partial 16S ribosomal RNA
Rfam family: Bacterial small subunit ribosomal RNA
Source: RNAcentral